RNAcentral lists this transfer RNA (56 nucleotides) under Bos taurus (domestic cattle). It matches the Rfam family "tRNA", at positions 8 to 63 of the family's 71-position model. From Rfam's summary of the family: Transfer RNA (tRNA) molecules are approximately 80 nucleotides in length. The record is from Rfam by way of RNAcentral. Lineage: Eukaryota; Metazoa; Chordata; Mammalia; Artiodactyla; Bovidae.
UAGUCCAGUGGUUAGGACUCGGCACUUUUACUGCCUUGGCCAGGAUUCAAUCCCUG